AAAAUGUGGCACCAACUAUCCUCCUCUCACGAAAAUCUGAGUCCCCCUUCAAGUUGUCGUUUGAAAUUGAAUAUGAAAUUAUACUGAUCGCAGGGAAGUUGUUUCUUCCCCAUCCAUCCGUUGCUUGUGAUUGUGAGACUUCAAUACCAUCGUUGAUUCUACUGAUGGAGUUUAGUUCAACAAUUUUGUCUUAUGUUUUGUGGGUUUGAGUUUAUACUGGACCAGAUAGAUUGCACUCUUUUUUUCUUUUCAAGGUUUUGUUCCACUGAAUUUUUCCUGUGCAAGUUGUUUAAUGAGGCAAUCUUUGAUAAAGAUUCGUUUUGUA
Molecule: long non-coding RNA, 325 nt
Filed under: Ricinus communis (castor bean)
Lineage: Eukaryota; Viridiplantae; Streptophyta; Magnoliopsida; Malpighiales; Euphorbiaceae
Description: long non-coding RNA (RCOM_LNC002690)
Source: RNAcentral